Long non-coding RNA from Ochotona curzoniae (black-lipped pika), 528 nucleotides. RefSeq lists it as uncharacterized. NCBI's taxonomy places the organism in Eukaryota, Metazoa, Chordata, Mammalia, Lagomorpha, Ochotonidae. The transcript has 3 exons. The record is from RefSeq and is a predicted model, not a curated record.
UCCGCCCCCUGAGCCCUCCCGGGGCGCGGGCCGCUGGCUGGUUUGCCCAGGGCCAGGCGAGCCGCGGGAAGGGCACCCUGGGGGAAAGCGGCAGGGGACGGUGACGAGCUGCCCUUCGUUGUCAGUCAGGGCCGAGGACCCGGCGACGCUCCCAGCCGGCUGCCCGCGAUCACCCGGCCGCCGACAUGUCAGCCGCCGGCGCCCGAGGCCUGCGGGCCUCCUACCACCGGCUCCUGGAUAAGGUGGAGCUAAUGCUGCCCGAGAAGUUGAGGCCGUUGUACAACCACCCGGCAGUCUGGAGGUGAAUUGCGUGACUGCAAAUCACAACUCAUCAUCGACAUGCAGUCAGAGUAAUUCUGCAAAAUGCAAAAGACAGGGGAGAUGACGGAACUGAGAGUGAUCACAGGACAAGAAGACCUGGGACAUCUGCUGGAAGCCUGCUCUGACUGACUCAAGAGCUUGCAAAGGAUGCGUGGACCAGCGAGACGAUAAGAAGAAGAGAUUAAGUCGUGGACCACUAUGGCUUGA